RNAcentral lists this unclassified non-coding RNA (3328 nucleotides) under Hevea brasiliensis (rubber tree). Lineage: Eukaryota; Viridiplantae; Streptophyta; Magnoliopsida; Malpighiales; Euphorbiaceae. The record is from RNAcentral.
GUUUGUUAAACAUCUAUGCUCUGGACAGUAUCGCUACAAAAUUGGUCCAUACACGAGCAAGGAAAUCCUAUUAUAAUACCCCAACAACUUGAAGCGAUUAUUUCAAAUAACAAUGAAUAUUUGAAUUCAACACAACCAAAUAAAUUUGGGUUUUCAAUAGGAAUACACUGCAGAAACUCUCUUUUUCUGCUUUUUCGCGAAAUAGUAUUACACAAGGCACAAGCUGUAUAUUGUCCUAAGAAUCACUAAUGAAUAUAAUACAAUCAAUACACCUAACAAAACUGGCAAAUUCCAGAAGCUGCAUAUGUUGACCAAAAUUUCAGAUACAAUAGCUACUGAUUGGCAUGCCAAUAGAACUAACAUCAAUGUUCAGCUGUAGUUGCUCUUGAUCAAGUUCAAUGUAUAAGAGAUUGGCUGCCAGGCCUACAGGGUUCUUUAUUUUGGUAAUCACGAACACAAUGGCUUUUCCUCCAAACUCGCCAGGCACUUCUCUAAUUUAAAAGAAUUGUAAGUUUCCUAUAUUCAACAAAUUCAAUGUACAAUUAAAUUCUGCUUCUUAUCUUUUAGCCUCAAACCAUGUUCUCCAAUGAAUAUAUCAUUCAUCCUCAUUGCCAAGUAAAGCAAAUGAAAAUGGGUGGAAUUUGUAUCCAUCUCCCUCAUAGAACUUGUUCUGGAACUCUACCCAGUGAAGCCUCAAGGCAUGCAGGAAUGCACUUAAGGUUUCCAUCACUAGAAGCACACCAACAGUUGCGCAUACAAAAACAAUUAUGCCAAUGAUAAGAAUAAAGGUAUUGUUGAACCCCCAGGCUAGAAGUAGAACCUUGUCAUAAAAUACACUUGAUAACUCUGAAUGGGCCAAACUGAGUGCCCACAAACGCAGAUAUGAAGCCGUAUUAGAUACUGCUCCAAGCACGAACUCUAUGGUAUGUAUAAGCUGGUGAACAAAGACCUCACUGAACUCAAAUUCCUCAUGUUUAUGGGAAUCAUAAUGGGGCUCUAUUUCAAGAGGGUCAUCAGUCCUGUCAACCAGGGCAUAGGAUUGACCUUGGUGCCUUUCCUCAUGUUGCUUCUUCAAUAGAAAUGGCUUUGGAAACAGCAUCCAUGGUACAGCAACAAGGGCUGACAGUAGCAACAAAAGCUGGCAGAAAAAAAUGGGACAUACUAAGAACCAGUAUCUGUUGGUUAAACAAGAAGGGAAAAUUUCAGCACAAUCACAAUCAUAUUAAACCUGAAGGAAUUUCUGGCCAAGAAAAAGUUGGUUGUCACCCAAAUCAUCAGUAGGACUCAAAAACAUGUAUAUCAUCACAUGGUAUAGAUCAGCUUGAGAGCCAGUGCACCAUUUCACAAUUAUCAGAAGUGAAAGGUAACCAAACAAGCUGUUCAAGAAAAUCAUCUGGGGAACAAAUUGGUACCAGAUAUUUAGUUUAUCUCCAAAGAACUUUGCAUUGAAGUAGCUCAUCAUAAUCCCAAGAUUCAUUUGGGCCACUCCUAACAGAAUUGACAUCUUCAUCUUUAAUGAGUUAAGAAAAGGUAACUCACUCCUGGUGCCAUGCCACUUAGGAUCAACACCAAAUGGAUAAGUGUCAUGAACCUUAAUGAGACCAGCAGUAGAAGCAUCUCUGCAUGACUGGUCACGACAAGCAUAGGCAGAGGGACCAAAUAGCUCAAAUGGGACUGAAAAGAAUUCAUUAUAUAUCAAUCCAGUGUAGAUUGAAAAAAUUGCCAUCAUCAUAAUAACAUAACGGCCACUGAAAGUCAUUUCCAUGAUGUCUCCAAGUUUCUGGCUGGACAAUUUCUUUUCCCUAAUAAUGAGAUACAAUGUUACCAGCAGCAAGCAAAUACCAUGGCCCCAGUCACCAAACAUCACGGCAAAAAGGAAUGGGAAUGUAAUAAUUGUAUAUACACUGGGAUUUGCUUCCUGGUACUUGGCAAUCCCAUAUGCAUCUACAAUUUCUUGAAAGGCAGAAGUGAAUUUGUUCGUGCAAAAAUAGGUAGGUGGUGAUUCCUUUGUCUGCAAAACCUGGAAUAUUGCUCCAAUUUGUGAGCUGCUGUCUAUAGUUGCCCGUCGCAAUGCAUUUUGAAUCUGAUCUGUUGCAAAAGCAGGACACCAACCUUCAGCAACCAGACAUUUCUUUGUCACAUCUAUGCUAAGCAUAUUUAAAGUGUGGUAAAUGUAUUUUUCCUUCUUCACCAGAAGAUUCCACUGCUCAAAUUGAAAGCCAAUUGUCUGUAACAAAUUGCUCUGGUGAGCCAAUCCAACAUCUAUGGUGGUCUUCAGCUCUAUAAGUCUUGCAGACACCUCUGUCAUCAUCUGAUACUGUUUGCUUAGGUCCUCAGCAAAUGGAUAACGGUUUGCUCCAAAGGCCUCACAAAUCUUAAGAAUUUUGUUCUUUGCUCUUUCACCAGAGUAGAAAACAACAAAUACAUUUUUCUCAACCUUCUCUCCAGAAACAGGAUCAACAACAGAAUUUUCAACCACAGAUUGCUUCAAAAACACAUUUCCCCUGGUUGCACGAAAAAGGAUCCUUUCAAAAACCAUUGAUUUUUCUCUGGAUACAAGGCCGCUGACAAAGCCCAGCUUAAUUUGCUUUGAUGGAUCCAUUAUCAUUUCUUGCUCCAGCAAUAAUGGACUGUCAAUGGAUCCUUCACCAUGGUUAUGUACUUGAAGUUCUCUUUGCUGAACUGCAGCACUUCUCUGAGCUGAAUAGAAAAGUUCACCAGCCUUCUGCAGAACAAGCUUAUAUUCUACUAGUUCAUUGUAUGAGUGCUCUAACUUUUCAUUAUUUGAGUUUAUCUCUAUCAGCUCAGCUUCGAGUUCGCCAAGUUUCACCUCCAGAUUGUCCAAAUCAAUAUCAUUGGUUAUUGCAGACCUUGUUGAAGGUAACAUCCCAGUCUUUGUCAUGUGUUCCUUAAAGAAACGUAGCUUACGAGCCAUUUCUGCACAUCUUUUAAUCUGAGCAGCAUAUGUCCGCUGGAACGGGCUCUUUUCGGCAUUGAGAUCUUUGAAUUGAAAGAGACCAAGGUCACCGAGAUAGGAGAUUGCGCGAUGAGCUGAUUCGAGUGGGAUGAUCAGUUGUACCAAUUGCAUAGAUUCCGACCGUAGCAGAUCCAUCUUUGGCCAACAUCUUUGCUCCGCCAUUUUUCAUAAACAUUCCGCAGAUCAAUAGACACAAUGUCUGCCUCUGCGCGUAUAUGUGUAUAUAGAGAGAGCCAAUACCGAUAGUAGGGAACUCGCCUGACGAUCAAGUUUCAGGCACCGACAAGACUAGUCCAAUUCAGGUUUUAUGGUUGUUAAGAAUACCAACCCGUGCUUCUUGUUACACCGUCG